ACAUCUUCAGUUGCCGAGCUCAAACCGUUACGAAAAAAGGUGCCUGAACAGCCUCGGUGAAAUUUUAUAACGAUUUCGUACAGUGAACGGGUGAAUUUGUAAAUUUUGUAACUUAUUUUUUAAGAACAUUUUUAAAAUGAUUAUAUAAAUUCAUUUAUGUAGAAUUUAUUCAAAAACAAAAUUUAUUAAGAAAACUGAAAAGUGAGUGAAAACAGAAGAAAUUCGACGCAAUUUAAAGUUUUAUUAAAACAAAAAAGGAAAGAAUUCGACCGAAGCCGAUUAAAACUUGAUCGAAAAGAUUUGUAAUAAUUUUACUGAUCAAUGCAGGAAGGAUGCAGCUGAAGUCAAAUAGAGGUCAAUCAAACAAAUUGGCGAUGUUUAUUAAUCGAUGGAUUAUCAAUGGGCCCAGCAUGUAAUAGCUUUUAAAAACUUCCAAUAUGAAAAGAAUAUUACCUGGUGAUAACAUAAUAAAUGUAUUAACAAAAGAAAUGGUCCGAGAUAAAGAAAAUGCUAUUAUGUUGGCACGUAUUUAUGUUGCACGAGGAUGUAGAUUUUAUAUCGAAUUGAUUUCUAACAGAGAUAGAAGAUGAGAUCGAUAGCGGAAAACGGAAAAACAGAAGUAUCUUCCGAAGAAGUUUAACAUGCAUCCGAGUUAUAUGAAAAUUUAAAAGUUGUUCAACGGCGAUGAUACGUAGCUUUGGUAUAGCUCGAAUUUAAAAGAAGGAAAGAAGAGAGAAUACAUAUCUACUUUAUGCGCAUAUUGAGAGCACAGAGAGCACAGAGAGAGAGAGAGAGAAAGAGAGAGAGAAAGAGGGAGAGCACAGAGAGAGAGAAAGCACAUAUUGAGUUACCAUAGUAACGAACUGCAGUACUUUAUUAUCGAGGAUUAUCGACAGCUUUCAGAAUUUUUUACCAAGCUUUUGGGAAUAUUAUAAAUGAACAUGCUAGAUUUAGAGACAAGGCAUUUUCUUUCCUUUUCACAAUUCUCGUUUUUAAACGAUUCGUGAAGCGACGUUUCCAUGUCCAUUACGUAAUCGAGAUAGAAUUGCAAGAAAUAGAAGACGGGAUAUAUAAUAGCAAAGAUUCUGCACUGUGAUACGAUAUGGUGAACUCUGACGUAACGAGACUAUCCUGGUGUAGUUUUACCAGGGUUUAACGGUAGAACGAGGGCACAAUUCUUUUUCAACGAAUCAAAAAGCAGGAUAUAAUUGACUGGGAUCAGAUAGCUUGUCAGAGUGCUGUCGGGCAUAGCAUGUGGAAUCUGAUCAAAAGUUGAUCUUUUUCUCGUACAAGAGAUAUUAUUUCGUAAGAGGAGAAUGUUUGACCUGGAAAUCAAUGCCUAUCUUUUAAUACUUGUGAACAAUAGUCAACAUUGUCAAGAAGAGAAAAUGACGAUCACUCACAAUACUGAGAUUUUCGUGGAUAUCGGACUAAUAAUAAUUUGCAUCGUAAUUGCUUGGAAAAUCAUAGACGCGAUAGUAGCAUUUAUUUUAAGGCUUUCAUAUAAGUAAUGAAGAAACAAAGGGGAUUAACGAUCACUCUAACAUGGAAAAUCUGUUAAUCGAUCCUGAAGUAGAAAGAGAAGAAGAAGAAGAAGAAGAAGGAGAGGAAAAAUUUGAAAACGAGGGUGAAGAUAAAGAGCCUAUACGCAUUUACGAUUUACUCGAUGAUUUUUUUUAAAUCUACUAGUAGACGAUAAUGAUCCCAGAAGUAAAUUUAAUUCCAAUUGAAAUUCAAAACGAUGUUGGUGUCUCCGAUUUGCCGAUCAUUGAUUCGGCAAGUCUCGAUUCGAAUUCGAAAAUGCCAAAGACGAUGUGUCGUAAAGACGAAGCUAAAUGGAUGAUCGUGACCGAUAGUAAUAAUAAUAUGGAAAGAACUGAGAAUAAUAUCGAUUAUAAGAGUGGAAGAUUUAAUCGUGGACUUAAGAACGAGUUAAAAAAAAUCAAAGUCAAAUAUAGGGAGGCUUAACUUUUCAAAAUGAUCAGAUCUGCAAAGACGUUCAAUACAUUUUAAUUAUAUGAGACAUUAAUUUCACGUUUAAAUCUUCGUUAUUCUAUUAAUUUAAAUUAAUCGUGAUUGAAUGAUUCGAUUUAACUGAAGAAAGAUAUUUUACAUUCUAUGUUCCAAUUUGUUUGUCAUAACAUUCACGACGUGUACUUGUAAAACAUAUUCCAUAACAAUAUUUUAUUUUACAAUAACGUUGGAUGAAAAUAUUCCACGAAAAUGUUCCACGAAAAUAUUCCACGAAAAUAUUCCACGAAAAUAAUUGACGGAAAUAUUCCACGGAAAUAUUCCACGGAAAUAUUCCACGAAAAUAUUCCACUUGACGUGUUAUUCAGAAAGGUAGCAGAACUAUGCGGCGAAUUUUCUCGUUAUAUUGGUUCUGAUAAUGAAAAUGCAUGAGUCGGUAUAUGUAUCGUCAGGUACCAGGAUUUAUUAUCUUUUUCGAUUUAUAUCUGCUCGAAUGCGUGCACAGGUACCGACGGCUCAAGUGCCAGGAAUGCUAACGAGAUCGUGCGUCGAUGUAUGUACGUGUAUCUGCAUAUAAUCCCCUCUUCAGAGAGCAAUCACUAGGAAUAUAAAACCUGUUUUUCUCUCGUAAAUCGUCUCAACGAUCCCUCUCAACAAAUCAUAGCGGAGUAACGGAUAAUAUAGUUAGCUAGACAACUAAAUUAGCAGCUUUAUUCAAUUAGUCGUUCGGCUUACGUCUGGAUUGCCUCUGAGAGCAUUGCCAUACGUCGAUUCAAUUACUUGAUACAGACGACUACAUUUUCCUAAAAUUAAAACAAUGUUCUCUUCGAGAAUUUUCCAAAAAAUUAUACAAUAUUACUUUCAGCUAUCUAGUAAUUCGUAUUCUACGUCCUAAACUAUAUAAGAAAAUAUUAUAAAUUAUUAUAUUCCUCUAAUCGUUUAUUUUUCAUUGCGUAUAAUCGUAUGUCGUAGUGAUUUUAUUAUAUUUCUAGUAAUAUAAUAUUUGGGAUUGUAUCGUCCGAAUGAUUUAAAUCCUCCAAAAACACACACACACACACAUAUAUAUAAUGUAACAUUUCCCCAACAUUUCCUUUAAUUAUUACUUGGAAUAAUAAUAGAGAUCCCUACCAUUAUACUUUUUUUCUAGCUAUCAUUCAAUCAGCCAUCAACAGAUCAACAUCGGCCAAAACGUAAGUUAUAAAUGGUGUAAAUAUAAAAUUACAAUCCUUCUAAAUACAAUCUUCUAAAUUCUCUA
Molecule: long non-coding RNA, 3226 nt
Organism: Vespula vulgaris
Lineage: Eukaryota; Metazoa; Arthropoda; Insecta; Hymenoptera; Vespidae
Exons: 5
Source: RefSeq, a predicted model, not a curated record